RNAcentral lists this ribosomal RNA (1676 nucleotides) under Escherichia coli KTE57. RNAcentral describes it as "bacterial LSU rRNA". It matches the Rfam family "Bacterial large subunit ribosomal RNA", at positions 1271 to 2925 of the family's 2925-position model. The record is from RNAcentral. Lineage: Bacteria; Pseudomonadati; Pseudomonadota; Gammaproteobacteria; Enterobacterales; Enterobacteriaceae.
UGCUGGAGGUAUCAGAAGUGCGAAUGCUGACAUAAGUAACGAUAAAGCGGGUGAAAAGCCCGCUCGCCGGAAGACCAAGGGUUCCUGUCCAACGUUAAUCGGGGCAGGGUGAGUCGACCCCUAAGGCGAGGCCGAAAGGCGUAGUCGAUGGGAAACAGGUUAAUAUUCCUGUACUUGGUGUUACUGCGAAGGGGGGACGGAGAAGGCUAUGUUGGCCGGGCGACGGUUGUCCCGGUUUAAGCGUGUAGGCUGGUUUUCCAGGCAAAUCCGGAAAACCAAGGCUGAGGCGUGAUGACGAGGCACUACGGUGCUGAAGCGACAAAUGCCCUGCUUCCAGGAAAAGCCUCUAAGCAUCAGGUAACAUCAAAUCGUACCCCAAACCGACACAGGUGGUCAGGUAGAGAAUACCAAGGCGCUUGAGAGAACUCGGGUGAAGGAACUAGGCAAAAUGGUGCCGUAACUUCGGGAGAAGGCACGCUGAUAUGUAGGUGAAGCGACUAGCUCGUGGAGCUGAAAUCAGUCGAAGAUACCAGCUGGCUGCAACUGUUUAUUAAAAACACAGCACUGUGCAAACACGAAAGUGGACGUAUACGGUGUGACGCCUGCCCGGUGCCGGAAGGUUAAUUGAUGGGGUUAGCGGCAACGCGAAGCUCUUGAUCGAAGCCCCGGUAAACGGCGGCCGUAACUAUAACGGUCCUAAGGUAGCGAAAUUCCUUGUCGGGUAAGUUCCGACCUGCACGAAUGGCGUAAUGAUGGCCAGGCUGUCUCCACCCGAGACUCAGUGAAAUUGAACUCGCUGUGAAGAUGCAGUGUACCCGCGGCAAGACGGAAAGACCCCGUGAACCUUUACUAUAGCUUGACACUGAACAUUGAGCCUUGAUGUGUAGGAUAGGUGGGAGGCUUUGAAGUGUGGACGCCAGUCUGCAUGGAGCCGACCUUGAAAUACCACCCUUUAAUGUUUGAUGUUCUAACGUGGGCCCCUAAUCGGGGUUGCGGACAGUGUCUGGUGGGUAGUUUGACUGGGGCGGUCUCCUCCUAAAGAGUAACGGAGGAGCACGAAGGUUGGCUAAUCCUGGUCGGACAUCAGGAGGUUAGUGCAAUGGCAUAAGCCAGCUUGACUGCGAGCGUGACGGCGCGAGCAGGUGCGAAAGCAGGUCAUAGUGAUCCGGUGGUUCUGAAUGGAAGGGCCAUCGCUCAACGGAUAAAAGGUACUCCGGGGAUAACAGGCUGAUACCGCCCAAGAGUUCAUAUCGACGGCGGUGUUUGGCACCUCGAUGUCGGCUCAUCACAUCCUGGGGCUGAAGUAGGUCCCAAGGGUAUGGCUGUUCGCCAUUUAAAGUGGUACGCGAGCUGGGUUUAGAACGUCGUGAGACAGUUCGGUCCCUAUCUGCCGUGGGCGCUGGAGAACUGAGGGGGGCUGCUCCUAGUACGAGAGGACCGGAGUGGACGCAUCACUGGUGUUCGGGUUGUCAUGCCAAUGGCACUGCCCGGUAGCUAAAUGCGGAAGAGAUAAGUGCUGAAAGCAUCUAAGCACGAAACUUGCCCCGAGAUGAGUUCUCCCUGAGACUUAGAGUCUCCUGAAGGAACGUUGAAGACGACGACGUUGAUAGGCCGGGUGUGUAAGCGCAGCGAUGCGUUGAGCUAACCGGUACUAAUGAACCGUGAGGCUUAACCUU